AGUUUGAUCAUGGCUCAGACUGAACGCUGGCGGGAUGCUUUACACAGCGCCCAGUCGAACGGCAGCACGGACUUCGGUCUGGUGGCGGGUGGCGAACAGGUGAGUAAUGUCGGAACGUGCCUAGUAGCGGGGGAUAACUACGCGAAAGCGUAGCUAUUACCACGCGCAUACGCCCUUCGAGGGGAAAGCGGGGGACGUUCGGGCCUCGCACUAUUAAGCGGCCGAUAUCGGAUUAGCUGGUUGGUGGGGUAACGGCUCACCAGAGGCGACGAUCCGUAGCUGGUUUGAGAGGACGACCAGCCACACUGGGACUGAGACACGGCCAGACUCCUACAGGAGGCAGCGGUGAAAUUUGGACAGUAAGGAAACCUGAUCCAGCCAUCCGCGUGUGCGAUGAAGGCCUUCGGGUUGUAAAGCACUUUUGGCAGGAAAGAAACGGCACGGGAUAAUACCCGUGCAACUGACGACAUACCAGAAUAAGCACCGGCUAACUACGUGCAGCAGCCGCGGUAAUACGUAGGGUGCAAGCGUUAAUCGGAAUUACUGGGCGUAAAGCGUGCGCAGGCGGUUUCGGAAAGAAGAUGUGAAAUCCCAGGCUUAACUUUGGAACUGCAUUUUUAACUACCGAGCUAGAGUGUGUCAGAGGGAGGUGGAAUUCCGCGUGUAGCAGUGAAAUGCGUAGAUAUGCGGAGGAACACCGAUAGCGAAGGCAGCCUCUGGGAUAACACUGACGCUCAUGCACGAAAGCGUGGGGAGCAAACAGGAUUAGAUACCCUGUUGAGUCCGCCCUAAACGAUGAUGUCAACUAGCUGUUGGGCCUUCCGGGCCUUGGUAGCGCAGCUAACGCGUGAAGUUGACCGCCUGGGAAGUACGGUCGCAAGAUUAAAACUCAAAGGAAUUGACGGGGACCCGCACAAGCGGUGGAUGAUGUGGAUUAAUUCGAUGCAACGCGAAAAACCUUACCUACCCCUUGACAUGUCUGGAAUCGAAGAGAUUUGGGAGUGCUCGCAAGAGAACGGAACACAGGGUGCUGCAUGGCUGUCGUCAGCUCGUGUCGUGAGAUGUUGGGUUAAGUCCCGCAACGAGCGCAACCCUUGUCAUUAGUUGCUACGAAGGGCACUCUAAUGAGACUGCAGUGACAAACCGGAGGAAGGUGGGAUGACGUCAAGUCCUCAUGGCCCUUGUGGUGGGGCUUCACACGUCAUACAAUAGUCAGGACAGAGGGUCGCCAACCCUUGAGGGGAGCCAAUCCCAGAAACCCAGUCGUAGUCCGGAUCGCAGUCUGCAACUCGACUGCGUGAAGUCGGAAUCGCUAGUAAUCGCGGAUCAGCAUGUCGCGGUGAAUACGUUCCCGGGUCUUGUACACCGCCCGUCACACCAUGGGGUGGUUUUACCGAAGUAGUUAGCCUAGCAGGGCGAUUACCACGGUAAGUUCAUGACUGGGGUGAAGUCGUAACAAGGUAG
Molecule: ribosomal RNA, 1464 nt
Filed under: uncultured Bordetella sp.
Lineage: Bacteria; Pseudomonadati; Pseudomonadota; Betaproteobacteria; Burkholderiales; Alcaligenaceae
Description: partial 16S-23S ribosomal RNA intergenic spacer
Rfam family: Bacterial small subunit ribosomal RNA
Source: RNAcentral